RNAcentral lists this ribosomal RNA (332 nucleotides) under uncultured bacterium. RNAcentral's name for it is "partial 16S ribosomal RNA". It matches the Rfam family "Bacterial small subunit ribosomal RNA", at positions 338 to 667 of the family's 1533-position model. The record is from RNAcentral.
CCUUCGGGUGGCUGCAGUGAGGAAUAUUGGUCAAUGGACGCAAGUCUGAACCAGCCAUGCCGCGUGCAGGAAGACGGCUCUAUGAGUUGUAAACUGCAUUUGUACGAGGGUAAACGCAGAUACGCGUAUCUGUCUGCAAGUAUUGUAUGCAUAAGGAUCGGCUAACUCCGUGCCAGCAGCCGCGGUAAUACGGAGGGUGCAAGCGUUAUCCGGAGUUAUUGGGUUUAAAGGGUGCGUAGGCGGUCGGAUAAGUUAGAGGUGAAAUCCCGAGGCUCAACUUCGGAAUUGUCUCUGAUACUGUUCGGCUAGAGAGUAGUAGAGGUAAGCGGAAU